Poecilia latipinna (sailfin molly) is the source of this 920-nucleotide long non-coding RNA. RefSeq lists it as uncharacterized. The transcript has 3 exons. The record is from RefSeq and is a predicted model, not a curated record. NCBI's taxonomy places the organism in Eukaryota, Metazoa, Chordata, Actinopteri, Cyprinodontiformes, Poeciliidae.
UUCUUGAGAUAAGGAGUGCAUUUCCAGAUGGUUUUCUAGCGAUAAGUUAAUUUUUUGUUUUCCACAUAUAUGUUUUCCAGAUUGUUUUCUCAAAAUAAAAAAUCCUCUUGAAGGAUGGAUUUGUUAAUGAUAUUUUAACACAUCUGUCAUCUUGUGAUCUUGAGAAAACAAAGUUUGCUUUAUCGAGAUUAACUCGUUCUCUCAAGAAAACUAAGUGUAUGCGGAAAACGUCUGCUCUAGGCUUCCGUACUUAGGGGAUUUUGACAAAAAAAAAAAAAAUGAAAAAUGAAAAAUAACUGCGGAUAAUAACCCUUUUCGCCGUCCUACAACGCGUCUAUUCAUCCAGCCACCGGGGGCGCUGUUACAAAAGUAACAGGUCCGCUCUGCCUGGCUUGAGCGGACCUGUCUGGAUUUUACAUCUCAAAACUUGAUGAGAAGUUGAUAUAGCGUUACAAAUUAAGCGAUGAAUCUUCACCUUCAAGCAUCUGGAAAUGUUUCUUUGGAUGAAUCACACUGGAGCAGCUGCAGGAAUAUUUUGAGGUUUCCCAUCAAACCAGAAAGCAGUGACUCUCAGGUGUGACCUUAAAAUACAUCCACAGGGAGAAAAAUCUGUGCGUCUUUCAGUUUUGUCUGUAAACUUCCUGCCUCAUCCGUAGAUGGAUACGUUGAUACCACUGAAGCUCGCUGCGAUAGACAAAGACACAUUUCAGACACAUGAUGUCAUUGCUUAUGUCUCAUAAUAGCUUUAUGCUAACUGACUGCCCCACGAAGAGGCGGACCUGAUCAGGGACAUGAAGCACAACAACACAAGCAGCUGCAGUAAAAGUCCACUCAACAAAGGCACACAGCAAUAUUUAGUAAAUAUUGCCAAUAUUUUCUGUAUAAACUCCUGGUUUUAUUUUAAUAAUCAGUAUUUUAAA